UUUAAAUUAGUGUUCCAUUCUUUAAGACAUUAAGUUACAAUGUUUUCUGUUGAAAUAUACAGCUUGUACAAGCCCGUUUGACCCCCCUAGCCCAAAACCCUCAAGCCCAAUACCCAAACAAAAGCCCAAAUAACUCCCGGGCCCAAAUAACCUUAACCCUAGCCUAAAUUAACAAAUCAGAAACAAAAGGACAAAAAAAACCUAGCUGCUGCCUCCCCGUGCCAGGUCUGCCACCGUCUGUCACGUCCACCGCCUCACCGCCCAAGUUGCACCUGCAAGCAUUAAUAGGAGUGGACAGAAGCAAGAAAGAUAAUGGCAUACUCGGCUAUAUAUAGCCAAAUAGAAUGUAAAAAGGGACCUUUUUUUUUUUCUCUUUUAUUCAAAAACAAAUAGCCUCAAUAUACAAAAUUUCAGCAAGAAACAUCACAAACCGAAGCAAAGGUCUAUAUACUUUCCUUUUUUAUUUUUAUUUUUUCUCUUCUUUUGUCGAAUUUGUUUGCAUAUAAUCUCUAUAAACAACACAUGCAUAUUAGAUAAAUAUAUAAAAUAGCAAAAAAAUAAUAUAAAAAAAUCUUACCUUUGGGAGAUUUUCGGCCACCGUCUACGGUGGCUGGCACGGCGGGCCACUCGCCGGAUUCUGGGCUCCCCCAGAGAGAAUUCGAGCCCCUUCCCCCUUCCUUUCUUUAAAACCCAGAGAAAAUGAGCUUCUGCUCAGAUUUUUUUUUUGUUUUUAUACCCUCUUUAUACGGCGUCGUUUUGAACUAGUUACCUAGGCGUCAAACGGCGUCGUUUUGACGCGAAUCGGACUGACCCGACCCGCUAACCGUGGGAUCCGCGUGUUUUCAUUACUUUUGGGUUAUUUACGCAACAAGCCCCUUUGUUUUGUAGCGUAUAUCGAUUAGGUUCUAUGCUGAUUUUUGUUCCUUUUAAUUUGGCUUGGAUAUUUAAUUUCGAAUUCGAUCUGGUCCUGAGACCAUUUAAACACGUAUUUUGGAACAGUGCCGUUGGGCGAUAGGGUACAAUUUCCAAAUGGGUCCCUAUGAUGUGGCGUGUAUUUUAAUGGGGUC
This 1067-nucleotide long non-coding RNA is filed under the name Gossypium barbadense (sea-island cotton). RNAcentral's name for it is "long non-coding RNA (GBAR_LNC009736)". The record is from RNAcentral. Lineage: Eukaryota; Viridiplantae; Streptophyta; Magnoliopsida; Malvales; Malvaceae.